AAGGAUUUAAGUUAACCCCUAUCCAAACUAAUAGCCUUCAAAGCUGUAAAUAAAGAUUACUUGCUUUAAGCCUUA
Molecule: transfer RNA, 75 nt
Filed under: Bradycellus ruficollis
Lineage: Eukaryota; Metazoa; Arthropoda; Insecta; Coleoptera; Carabidae
Description: tRNA-Trp
Source: RNAcentral